AGAGUUUGAUCAUGGCUCAGAUUGAACGCUGGCGGCAUGCCUUACACAUGCAAGUCGAACGGCAGCGGACCUUCGGGUGCCGGCGAGUGGCGAACGGGUGAGUAAAGUAUCGGAACGUACCUUUCAGUGGGGGAUAACGUAGCGAAAGUUACGCUAAUACCGCAUAUUCUCUGAGGAGGAAAGCAGGGGACCUUCGGGCCUUGCGCUGAUGGAGCGGCCGAUAUCAGAUUAGCUAGUUGGUGGGGUAAAGGCCUACCAAGGCGACGAUCUGUAGCGGGUCUGAGAGGAUGAUCCGCCACACUGGGACUGAGACACGGCCCAGACUCCUACGGGAGGCAGCAGUGGGGAAUUUUGGACAAUGGGCGAAAGCCUGAUCCAGCCAUGCCGCGUGAGUGAAGAAGGCCUUCGGGUUGUAAAGCUCUUUCGGCCGGGAAGAAAUCGUGUGGGCUAAUACCCUGCAUGGAUGACGGUACCGGAAUAAGAAGCACCGGCUAACUACGUG
Molecule: ribosomal RNA, 502 nt
Filed under: uncultured bacterium
Lineage: Bacteria
Description: bacterial SSU rRNA
Rfam family: Bacterial small subunit ribosomal RNA
Source: RNAcentral